GACGAACGCUGGCGGCGUGCUUAACACAUGCAAGUCGAACGGAAAGGCCCUGCUUUUGUGGGGUGCUCGAGUGGCGAACGGGUGAGUAACACGUGAGUAACCUGCCCUUGACUUUGGGAUAACUUCAGGGAACUGGGGCUAAUACCGGAUAGGAGCUCCUGCCGCAUGGUGGGGGUUGGAAAGUUUCGGCGGUUGGGGAUGGACUCGCGGCUUAUCAGCUUGUUGGUGGGGUAGUGGCUUACCAAGGCUUUGACGGGUAGCCGGCCUGAGAGGGUGACCGGCCACAUUGGGACUGAGAUACGGCCCAGACUCCUACGGGAGGCAGCAGUGGGGAAUAUUGCACAAUGGGCGGAAGCCUGAUGCAGCAACGCCGCGUGCGGGAUGACGGCCUUCGGGUUGUAAACCGCUUUCGCCUGUGACGAAGCGUGAGUGACGGUAAUGGGUAAAGAAGCACCGGCUAACUACGUGCCAGCAGCCGCGGUGAUACGUAGGGUGCGAGCGUUGUCCGGAUUUAUUGGGCGUAAAGGGCUCGUAGGUGGUUGAUCGCGUCGGAAGUGUAAUCUUGGGGCUUAACCCUGAGCGUGCUUUCGAUACGGGUUGACUUGAGGAAGGUAGGGGAGAAUGGAAUUCCUGGUGGAGCGGUGGAAUGCGCAGAUAUCAGGAGGAACACCAGUGGCGAAGGCGGUUCUCUGGGCCUUUCCUGACGCUGAGGAGCGAAAGCGUGGGGAGCGAACAGGCUUAGAUACCCUGGUAGUCCACGCUGUAAACGGUGGGUACUAGGUGUGGGGUCCAUUCCACGGGUUCCGUGCCGUAGCUAACGCUUUAAGUACCCCGCCUGGGGAGUACGGCCGCAAGGCUAAAACUCAAAGGAAUUGACGGGGCCCCGCACAAGCGGCGGAGCAUGCGGAUUAAUUCGAUGCAACGCGUAGAACCUUACCUGGGUUUGACAUGGAUCGGGAGUGCUCAGAGAUGGGUGUGCCUCUUUUGGGGUCGGUUCACAGGUGGUGCAUGGCUGUCGUCAGCUCGUGUCGUGAGAUGUUGGGUUAAGUCCCGCAACGAGCGCAACCCUUGUUCACUGUUGCCAGCACGUUAUGGUGGGGACUCAGUGGAGACCGCCGGGGUCAACUCGGAGGAAGGUGGGGAUGACGUCAAGUCAUCAUGCCCCUUAUGUCCAGGGCUUCACGCAUGCUACAAUGGCUGGUACAGAGAGUGGCGAGCCUGUGAGGGUGAGCGAAUCUCGGAAAGCCGGUCUCAGUUCGGAUUGGGGUCUGCAACUCGACCUCAUGAAGUCGGAGUCGCUAGUAAUCGCAGAUCAGCAACGCUGCGGUGAAUACGUUCCCGGG
RNAcentral lists this ribosomal RNA (1343 nucleotides) under uncultured bacterium. RNAcentral's name for it is "16S ribosomal RNA". It matches the Rfam family "Bacterial small subunit ribosomal RNA", at positions 28 to 1378 of the family's 1533-position model. The record is from RNAcentral.